Non-coding RNA from Schizosaccharomyces pombe (fission yeast), 395 nucleotides. The record is from the annotation of a GenBank genome assembly. Lineage: Eukaryota; Fungi; Ascomycota; Schizosaccharomycetes; Schizosaccharomycetales; Schizosaccharomycetaceae.
AACUAUGUUAUCUUCAUCCGAUUGAGCUAAUAUUUGUAAAGAAUCGAUGGGAAUUUUGUUCGCGUACAAACUGUGGUAACGCAUUCCUUUAACCGCUGAAAUUCCAUCAAAAAUGAAAGUUUUUGAAGUAGUUACAGAUGACACACGGCCAUGCCAAGGAAGAUUAGGCAUUCUUUCUAUAGUGGCACCGUGGUAUAAAGCUAAUGACUGAAACCCCAAACAAAUGCCCAUUACUGGGAUAUUUAAUUGCCAAAUACGAUUCAAAAUAGAAGAAUAUUCGGCAGGAUGUCCAGGGCCCGGUCCUACGACAAUGGCAUCAAAUUGAAGUAUGUCUUCCCAUAAAUCAGGACUCAUUUUAUCCCAAUGAACAACAAUAACACAGGCAUUUUCACUUG